CACCGGCAGCUCUAGUGGUAACAAUUUUUAUUGGGCCCUAAAGCGUCCGUAGCCGGUUUAAUAAGUCUCUGGUGAAAUCCUGCAGCUUAACUGUGGGAAUUGCUGGAGAUACUAUUAGACUUGAGACCGGGAGAGGUUAGAGGUACUCCCAGGGUAGAGGUGAAAUUCUGUAAUCCUGGGAGGACCGCCUGUUGCGAAGGCGUCUAACUGGAACGGUUCUGACGGUGAGGGACGAAAGUUAGGGGCGCAAACCGGAUUAGAUACCCCUGUAGUCCCUGAGCGGGCUGGCAA
Molecule: ribosomal RNA, 291 nt
Filed under: uncultured prokaryote
Description: partial 16S ribosomal RNA
Rfam family: Archaeal small subunit ribosomal RNA
Source: RNAcentral